This 936-nucleotide small RNA is filed under the name uncultured fungus. RNAcentral describes it as "eukaryotic LSU rRNA". The stretch from base 630 to 936 matches the Rfam family "Eukaryotic large subunit ribosomal RNA", at positions 1 to 301 of the family's 3401-position model. Lineage: Eukaryota; Fungi. The record is from RNAcentral.
GGAAGGAUCAUUAUUGAAUGAACUUGGUGUGGUUGUUGCUGGCCCUCUCGGGGGCAUGUGCACACCCAUCAUCCUCAUCUCUCCACCUGUGCACCUCUUGUAGACCUGGAUAGACUUUCCGAGGCAACUCGGUCGGGAAGAUUGCUGCUCUCUUGUGGGCCAGCUUUCUUUGCAUGUCCAGGCCUAUGUUUUUCAUAUACCCCUAUAGAAUGUAACAGAAUGUAUCAUUGGGCCUUGUGCCUAUAAACCUUAUACAACUUUCAGCAACGGAUCUCUUGGCUCUCGCAUCGAUGAAGAACGCAGCGAAAUGCGAUAAGUAAUGUGAAUUGCAGAAUUCAGUGAAUCAUCGAAUCUUUGAACGCACCUUGCGCUCCUUGGUAUUCCGAGGAGCAUGCCUGUUUGAGUGUCAUUAAAUUCUCAACCUUAUUAACUUUUGUUGAUAAUGGAUUGGAUGUGGGGGUUUCUUUUGCUGGCUUCUUCACAGAGAUCAGCUCCCCUUAAAUGCAUUAGCUGGUGCCCUGCGUGGACCAUCUAUUGGUGUGAUAAUUAUCUACGCCGUGGAUGUCUGCAAUCAUAUGGGUUUUGCACUGCUUCUAACCGUCUGUUCAUUCGGACAACACAUGACAAUUUGACCUCAAAUCAAGUAGGACUACCCGCUGAACUUAAGCAUAUCAAUAAGCGGAGGAAAAGAAACUAACAAGGAUUCCCCUAGUAACUGCGAGUGAAGCGGGAAAAGCUCAAAUUUAAAAUCUGGCGGUCUCCGGCCGUUCGAGUUGUAAUCUAGAGAAGUGUUAUCCGCGCUGGACCGUGUACAAGUCUCCUGGAAUGGAGCGUCAUAGAGGGUGAGAAUCCCGUCUUUGACACGGACUGCCAGGGCUUUGUGAUGCGCUCUCAAAGAGUCGAGUUGUUUGGGAAUGCAGCUCAAAAUGGGUGGUA